Molecule: ribosomal RNA, 276 nt
Filed under: uncultured bacterium
Lineage: Bacteria
Description: partial 16S ribosomal RNA
Rfam family: Bacterial small subunit ribosomal RNA
Source: RNAcentral
UCUAAGUUUGAUGGCGACCGGCGCACGGGUGAGUAACACGUAUCCAACCUGCCGAUAACUCGGGGAUAGCCUUUCGAAAGAAAGAUUAAUACCCGAUGGCAUAAUAGAACCGCAUGGUUUGAUUAUUAAAGAAUUUCGGUUAUCGAUGGGGAUGCGUUCCAUUAGGCAGUUGGUGGGGUAACGGCCCACCAAACCUUCGAUGGAUAGGGGUUCUGAGAGGAAGGUCCCCCACAUUGGAACUGAGACACGGUCCAAACUCCUACGGGAGGCAGCAUG